This 808-nucleotide ribosomal RNA is filed under the name Betaproteobacteria bacterium. Its description in RNAcentral is "bacterial SSU rRNA". It matches the Rfam family "Bacterial small subunit ribosomal RNA", at positions 81 to 886 of the family's 1533-position model. Lineage: Bacteria; Pseudomonadati; Pseudomonadota; Betaproteobacteria. The record is from RNAcentral.
GCACCUGAUGGCGAGUGGCGAACGGGUGAGUAAUGCAUCGGAACGUGCCCAGUCGUGGGGGAUAACGCAGCGAAAGCUGUGCUAAUACCGCAUACGAUCUAUGGAUGAAAGCGGGGGACCUUCGGGCCUCGCGCGAUUGGAGCGGCCGAUGUUAGAUUAGGUAGUUGGUGGGGUAAAGGCUCACCAAGCCGACGAUCUAUAGCUGGUCUGAGAGGACGACCAGCCACACUGGAACUGAGACACGGUCCAGACUCCUACGGGAGGCAGCAGUGGGGAAUUUUGGACAAUGGGCGAAAGCCUGAUCCAGCAAUACCGCGUGCAGGAAGAAGGCCCUCGGGUUGUAAACUGCUUUUGUACGGAACGAAACGGCGCGCUCUAAUAAAGUGCGCUAAUGACGGUACCGUAAGAAUAAGCACCGGCUAACUACGUGCCAGCAGCCGCGGUAAUACGUAGGGUGCAAGCGUUAAUCGGAAUUACUGGGCGUAAAGCGUGCGCAGGCGGUUUUGUAAGACAGGCGUGAAAUCCCCGGGCUUAACCUGGGAAUUGCGCUUGUGACUGCAAGGCUAGAGUACGGUAGAGGGGGGUAGAAUUCCGCGUGUAGCAGUGAAAUGCGUAGAUAUGCGGAGGAACACCGAUGGCGAAGGCAGCCCCCUGGACCUGUACUGACGCUCAUGCACGAAAGCGUGGGGAGCAAACAGGAUUAGAUACCCUGGUAGUCCACGCCCUAAACGAUGUCAACUGGUUGUUGGGAAUUUACUUUCUCAGUAACGAAGCUAACGCGUGAAGUUGACCGCCUGGGGAGUACGGC